Molecule: long non-coding RNA, 396 nt
Filed under: Pan troglodytes (chimpanzee)
Lineage: Eukaryota; Metazoa; Chordata; Mammalia; Primates; Hominidae
Description: long non-coding RNA NONPTRT000983
Source: RNAcentral
CAAGAUGGCGGCCGCCGAGAGGGUUCACAAAGGCUCUGGUCCAUUAGAGGAAGGAGGUCCCAGAAUAGCUGGGAAAUUACGAGAACAGCCUCACUGCACGAGUUGGUGAAUGCUGUGGUGCGAUUGUAUGAUGGACGGUGAUGUUGAAACCAGACUGGGGAAUGACCGCCCCAUCCGGAGAGAAAAGCACCAAGGAUUCUCUUUUGUUGAAUUUGAGUUGGCAGAGGAUGUUGCAGCAGCUGUCAACAACAUGGUAUGGCUGAGCAUCUUUGUUUUUUACUGAAGCUGUUAUUUGGUGCUACUUUUUGGUAUAGGGAACGCCCAUGUACCUAUUGUGUUUCCAAUUUCCAUAGUUUCAAAGUUCUGUAGCAAGCACAGGUCAUCGUUAUUUGAAAU